GACAGAGGGUGCAAACGUUGUUCGGAAUUACUGGGCGUAAAGCGUGUGUAGGCGGUCUAUUAAGUCGGAUGUGAAAGCCCUGGGCUCAACCCAGGAAGUGCACUCGAAACUGGUAGACUUGAGUAUCGGAGAGGUUGGUGGAAUUCUCGGUGUAGAGGUGAAAUUCGUAGAUAUCGAGAGGAACACCGGUGGCGAAGGCGGCCAACUGGACGAAUACUGACGCUGAGACACGAAAGCGUGGGGAGCAAACAGG
This 253-nucleotide ribosomal RNA is filed under the name uncultured bacterium. Its description in RNAcentral is "partial 16S ribosomal RNA". It matches the Rfam family "Bacterial small subunit ribosomal RNA", at positions 524 to 776 of the family's 1533-position model. The record is from RNAcentral.